CUAGCCUACAUUUUGUAGUUAUUAUGGAAAUUCAAAGUCAAGCAAUGGAGAAGACGAAGAGAAGGCCAAGUCUAAUGGUGGAAAGCUUCUCCUGGGUGUUAUCUCCAUCAACGGGAGAGCUAAUUUAUAUAAGCUCAAAGCACCCCAAAGAAGAGACGAUGAUAAUGAAGAUGAUGAAUUCUUUUCUGCAGGGAGUUGUUUCUCAAUGUGUUCGAGUGGUGGUGCAAGCAGAGAAGCAUUUAUGUCGACCAAGUCGAACUUUUCCCAUUGUUGGAG
This is a long non-coding RNA of Hibiscus syriacus, 276 nucleotides long. RefSeq lists it as uncharacterized. The record is from RefSeq and is a predicted model, not a curated record. The transcript is spliced from 3 exons. NCBI's taxonomy places the organism in Eukaryota, Viridiplantae, Streptophyta, Magnoliopsida, Malvales, Malvaceae.